GGGCCCGUAGCUCAGCCUGGUAGAGCAGCGGACUUUUAAUCCGCGUGUCGAGGGUUCAAAUCCCUCUGGGCUCG
This 74-nucleotide transfer RNA is filed under the name Candidatus Iainarchaeum sp. RNAcentral's name for it is "tRNA-Lys". It matches the Rfam family "tRNA". Rfam says of the family: Transfer RNA (tRNA) molecules are approximately 80 nucleotides in length. The record is from RNAcentral. Lineage: Archaea; Nanobdellati; Candidatus Iainarchaeota; Candidatus Iainarchaeia; Candidatus Iainarchaeales; Candidatus Iainarchaeaceae.